UACGGAGGGUGCAAGCGUUAUCCGGAUUUACUGGGUUUAAAGGGUGCGUAGGUGGGUCUGUAAGUCAGCGGUGAAAUCUCCAGGCUUAACCUGGAAAUUGCCAUUGAUACUAUAGAUCUUGAAUUAUCUGGAGGUAAGCGGAAUAUGUCAUGUAGCGGUGAAAUGCUUAGAGAUGACACAGAACACCGAUUGCGAAGGCAGCUCACUACGCGGAUAUUGACGCUGAGGCACGAAAGCGUGGGGAUCAAACAGG
Molecule: ribosomal RNA, 253 nt
Filed under: uncultured bacterium
Lineage: Bacteria
Description: partial 16S ribosomal RNA
Rfam family: Bacterial small subunit ribosomal RNA
Source: RNAcentral